This 603-nucleotide ribosomal RNA is filed under the name uncultured bacterium. RNAcentral describes it as "bacterial SSU rRNA". It matches the Rfam family "Bacterial small subunit ribosomal RNA", at positions 1 to 618 of the family's 1533-position model. The record is from RNAcentral.
CCCUUAGAGUUUGAUCCUGGCUCAGAACGAACGUUGGCGGCGUGGAUUAGGCAUGCAAGUCGCGGGAAUCCCUCGCAAGAGGGGGAACCGGCGUAAGGGGCAGUAGGGCGUGGGCAACCUACCCCGGGGUCUGGCAUAGCCCGUAGAAAUACGGGGUAAUUCCAGGCGACGUCCGAGCGGGGCAUCCCGUUCGGACCACAGGUCCGCCGCCCCGGGCGGGGCCCACGUGGUAUUAGCUGGUUGGUGGGGUGACGGCCCACCAAGGCCGAGAUGCCUAGCGGGUGUGAGAGCACGACCCGCGCCACUGGCACUGAGACACUGGCCAGACACCUACGGGUGGCUGCAGUCGAGGAUCUUCGGCAAUGGGCGCAAGCCUGACCGAGCGACGCCGCGUGUGCGACGAAGGCCUUCGGGUUGUAAAGCACUGUCGAGGGGGAGGAAAGCCCGCAAGGGUGUGACCUAUCCCUGGAGGAAGCACGGGCUAAGUUCGUGCCAGCAGCCGCGGUAAGACGAACCGUGCGAACGUUGUUCGGAAUCACUGGGCUUAAAGGGCGCGUAGGCGGGCCGCCAGGCCCGCGGUGAAAUCCCCCGGCUCACCCGGGG